Molecule: ribosomal RNA, 400 nt
Filed under: uncultured bacterium
Lineage: Bacteria
Description: bacterial SSU rRNA
Rfam family: Bacterial small subunit ribosomal RNA
Source: RNAcentral
UAAGGAAUAUUGGUCAAUGGUCGGAAGACUGAACCAGCCAUGCCGCGUGAAGGAUGAAGGCCCUUUGGGUUGUAAACUUCUUUUGAGUGGGAAGAAAUGUGCGUACGUGUACGCAUUUGACGGUACCACUAGAAUAAGCACCGGCUAACUCCGUGCCAGCAGCCGCGGUAAUACGGAGGGUGCGAGCGUUAUCCGGAAUCACUGGGUUUAAAGGGUACGUAGGCGGCCUUAUAAGUCUGGGGUGAAAGGCCACCGCUUAACGGUGGGACUGCCUUGGAUACUGUAGGGCUUGAGUUAGGAUGAGGCUGGCGGAAUGCGUCAUGUAGCGGUGAAAUGCUUAGAUAUGACGUGGAACACCGAUUGCGAAGGCAGCUAGCUGGGCCUGAACUGACGCUGAGGU